GUCACUUUGCUGCAGACCAGAUAUGACCAACUGAGCAGCAACUACAGCCAGAUCCAGAGCAACGUUUCUGAGAAGCUGUGUCCUGACGGAUGGAAGAGAUCUGGAUGCAGUUGUUACUUUAAAUCUAAUGAGAUGAAGAUUUGGCCUGAAAGCAGAGCUGACUGUCGGCAGAGAGGAGCAGAUCUGGUCGUCAUGAACAACGAAGAGGAACAGAUGUAGUCACAAGAUGGCUUCACUACAACAGAAAUGCUGAACUGUGAUCAGAGAAAUGAUUGUUGUCAACUUCUAGAAGUUUGUCACUGAGCUGAGUAAGGAUGGAGAGUACUGGAUUGGUCUACGGUAUGACUGGAUACAAGCAGAAUGGAAAUGGGAAUGGGUCAACGGAUCACCGCUGACAGA
Molecule: long non-coding RNA, 399 nt
Organism: Perca fluviatilis (European perch)
Lineage: Eukaryota; Metazoa; Chordata; Actinopteri; Perciformes; Percidae
Exons: 3
Source: RefSeq, a predicted model, not a curated record